UACGUAGGGUGCGAGGUUUGUCCGGAAUUACUGGGCGUAAAGAGCUCGUAGGUGGUUUGUCGCGUUGUUCGUGAAAUCUCACGGCUUAACUGUGAGCGUGCGGGCGAUACGGGCAGACUUGAGUUCGGUAGGGGAGACUGGAAUUCCUGGUGUAGCGGUGAAAUGCGCAGAUAUCAGGAGGAACACCGGUGGCGAAGGCGGGUCUCUGGGCCGAUACUGACGCUGAGGAGCGAAAGCGUGGGGAGCGAACAGG
This 253-nucleotide ribosomal RNA is filed under the name uncultured bacterium. RNAcentral describes it as "partial 16S ribosomal RNA". It matches the Rfam family "Bacterial small subunit ribosomal RNA", at positions 524 to 776 of the family's 1533-position model. The record is from RNAcentral.